AGCGAACGCUGGCGGCAGGCCUAAUACAUGCAAGUCGAGCGGGUCCUUCGGGAUUAGCGGCGGACGGGUGAGUAACGCGUGGGAACGUGCCCUUUGGUACGGGAACAACUGAGGGAAACUUCAGCUAAUACCGUAUGUGCCCUUCGGGGAAAGAUUUAUCGCCAUUGGAGCGGCCCGCGUUGGAUUAGGUAGUUGGUGAGGUAAAGGCUCACCAAGCCUACGAUCCAUAGCUGGUCUGAGAGGAUGACCAGCCACACUGGGACUGAGACACGGCCCAGACUCCUACGGGAGGCAGCAGUAGGGAUCUUGCGCAAUGGGCGAAAGCCUGACGCAGCCAUGCCGCGUGAAUGAUGAAGGUCUUAGGAUUGUAAAAUUCUUUCACCGGGGACGAUAAUGACGG
RNAcentral lists this ribosomal RNA (400 nucleotides) under uncultured bacterium. RNAcentral's name for it is "bacterial SSU rRNA". It matches the Rfam family "Bacterial small subunit ribosomal RNA", at positions 29 to 457 of the family's 1533-position model. The record is from RNAcentral.